GAUGAACGCUGGCGGCGUGCCUAAUACAUGCAAGUCGAGCGAACAGACGAGGAGCUUGCUCCUCUGACGUUAGCGGCGGACGGGUGAGUAACACGUGGAUAACCUACCUAUAAGACUGGGAUAACUUCGGGAAACCGGAGCUAAUACCGGAUAAUAUAUUGAACCGCAUGGUUCAAUAGUGAAAGACGGUUUUGCUGUCACUUAUAGAUGGAUCCGCGCCGCAUUAGCUAGUUGGUAAGGUAACGGCUUACCAAGGCAACGAUGCGUAGCCGACCCGAGAGGGUGAUCGGCCACACUGGAACUGAGACACGGUCCAGACUCCUACGGGAGGCAGCAGUAGGGAAUCUUCCGCAAAGGGCGAAAGCCUGACGGAGCAACGCCGCGUGAGUGAUGAAGGUCUUCGGAUCGUAAAACUCUGUUAUUAGGGAAGAACAAAUGUGUAAGUAACUAUGCACGUCUUGACGGUACCUAAUCAGAAAGCCACGGCUAACUACGUG
RNAcentral lists this ribosomal RNA (497 nucleotides) under uncultured bacterium. Its description in RNAcentral is "partial 16S ribosomal RNA". It matches the Rfam family "Bacterial small subunit ribosomal RNA", at positions 28 to 507 of the family's 1533-position model. The record is from RNAcentral.